GGGUGGCUGAGGGGGAACCGCAGCGUUCCGGGCUCUGCAGCGCUGCGGCCGUGCCGGUGCCUCCACGGCUCCGGGCUCGCUCCUCGGCCGCAGAGGAAGGAGCUGUGACGAGGAAGGACCUGGCUCUGCUCCGGCACGGGCUUUUCGGAAGGUGUCGCUUGCGAAAGCUGUCAGCGCUUCCCGUGGCGUGCACCGAGGAGAGGAGAAGGACUACGGUGCGAUGGGGCCUCCGGCGGAACAGCCCCAGGCUUCUGUGGGAGGGUGAGAGUCGCAGCACCCUCAAAGUGCACAGGCAACAGCCUCAGUCCUCACAGGGGAUCAGCCCUCAGCCCCCUCACACUUCACAGGGAUCAUCCCCUCAAUGCCCACAAACUGCACAGGGAACAGCCCCUCAGCCCCCUCAAACCUCGCAGGGGAUCAUCCCCUCAAUGCCCUUAAACCACACAGAAAAUAAGCUCCUCAACCCCAAAAAAACUCAUAGGGGAUCAGCCUGUCAAACCUUGCACGAUCAGCCCCUCAGCUCUCUCAAACCUCUCAGGGCACGGGGGUUAUCCUCAAAAAGUCCUCUAAGUCGCAGGGCUGCAGGCAUGGGGUGUCAGUAGGAGGUUCCUGUUCCAUUAAAAUGUCUUUUCACUGUCUGAAACAGAAACACGGGCUGAAUUGUAAAAGGAUCAAAACCACCCCUGCCCUUUGCUGUUCUCCAGCAUGUUUGCUUUUAGUAUUCAGCCCAGGACUGACACAGAAUGGGAGGAUUUCCCAAAUGGCUUUGUUACAACAUUAAGCCUGGUAACCUACCCUGGGUCACUCCCGAGCAGAAAAUAAGGAGUUUGAAAGAAAACACUGAUUUCUAAGGGCAGCUUGUUCCAAGGAUUGUUCCUGCACUGAAACAAAGCCUGUAAAAACACCAGUUGCGAGUCAUUCCUUAAGUUACUGUUUCCGCACGGAAUGAUCUUGCCACAUCGGAGCUGCAGAAAGGUCAAGCCAGAGUUGCUUUCUCGCUGAUCCCAACACUCAGUGCCUGUCAGUGUGUUCCAGAGGACUCCCAAGCCCAAACAUGACAGAUCGCUGCUGGACAUGUAGCUCUGACAACAUUUUGCCUUGCCACUUUUGUGGCUUGAUUGUGCCCAUGCAGCAAGGUCCCACACUUUUUACCUUUGCCAUGAGACUCCACAAUGCUUGAGCAGCAGUGUGCCAUGACCCUUUCCUGCCAUCCCUACAGCCACCCACAGUGUCUUUCCUUUUGAUAAAACUUCACCUUCCAAGAUGGAAAUUCAUGCCCUGCCUCUGGAUAACACCCUGCACAACAGGAUCUGAGCAUCUAGACACCCCACUGGGAGUUACACAAGCAAUGAAUCGUCAAACCCCAUUUUUUGUGCAGAUUAAUGUUCUCUAAGUUACUCCUGCCAUAAACUAUAAACAGCAGAAAAUGCAUUACUUUGCAUUCCAGCAUGUUGUGGGAGAUCAUAAAGGCACUUAAUAUAUAAUUUAAGCCAUUUAAGUGAGAUAGCACAACUGCUGUAAUUAGCAACAGUUCUCCAAAUCCCCAUAUGCCAGACAAAGGCUCACAUUCAGCAAUUCCAGGCUGGUAGGAGGGAAUCAGAACAUCACUGAAAUGAAAUCCAUGCUCUGCUUUUUUUUCCUCCUGCCAAUCUCAGCAGAGCCUACGUUUCACUACAGCUACUCCCCUGCACCACCGUACAAGAGACCCAAAGCAUAACAUAAAGACUGCCCUUUUUUGGGCUUAUUUUAAGAAUUACAGGCUACUCAAGGCUUUAAAAAAGAGAAAUGGAGCCACUUCUCUUGACAGCUGGAUUCUACAGGCUGAAAGGGAACUUCCUUGCUUUUUCCUUUGAAUAAAACCAAAAUACAACAAAAAACGAAACUUGAUUUUCUCUAGAAAAAUCCAUGAGCUGAAGUCAGCAUUAAGUGGGAAUUUAGAAGCACUCCAAGCAGCAGCCACCCUUAGUGCACACAGGGUCAGGCACAGGGCAGUGUGAUGGGAGGCAUGAGAGGAGAGAGGCAGGAUGAGCACGCAAAGGGCAGCGGUGACAGCACAGGGACGAGACCUGAAUGCUGCCAUGGGCCUGAACUUCACUACCUCAUGGAACCCCAGGACACAGCCCUGCCCAGAAGCCUCAUCCCACCAUGUGCUCCCUGGAAUUGCAGCCAGUUGGACACUCCUGUGCAAAGAACAUCGCUGGGAAUAGGCACAAAAAUCUUCUAAAGGAGCAGGGAAAGGAGAUACAGAACUGAGAGCCUCUUCCACCAAGGGGGGAUGUGAAAUUGGAGGUGCCAUGGCUCAGAGAGGGAAGAUGCUGUCCCCCUCCCCAUUCCCCAGGCAGCACCAACUUGGAAAUGUGUACCAGGUUCAUCAUUUUCCAGGCUUCUCUGAUUCAAGGGGAGAGGAAGUGACCAAGGCUGGUAUCAGCUAGAGAGUUCAUAUUUCAUCAUCCAAAAGAUUAACAAAAGAAUUCAAAUUAUUUUCAAUACAAUUAGAUAUCCAACUUGUUACAGAUUUGAUUUUAUAAGCAGCACCUAAGGGAUGGGCUCUCACAUAUCAUUAAUAAUGCCUAUUUUAAUUUGCAUAAACCUCUACAAACUUAUGAAACACAAUAAAAAGUAAAGCCUUUAACUAUUCUGUUUCUCACAGGCUGCAAGUUGAAGAAGUGUAGAGGAAGCUGAUAAUGCUCUUUCAGUUCCUGAGGACUUCAAGCAGCUAUAAAAGUCAUAGACAUUAGCAAACACCAACAAUCAGCUCACAAACAGCUGGCUGAGAAGCUGAAGACAAACAUCUACAGAACAGUUGAAGCAUAAAAUAGUGCAGGAACAUCUGAAAAUACAACUGAGAAGAAGCACCAGCACUAGAGGUUGGUCACUGGUACCUUUGGGCACUCUGGAAGGUUUGGCUGCCUGUGUCUCCCAGUCUGGGAACACUUGGACCACACCUGAUUUUGCCAGAGGUGGAUAAAAGAGAUGCAGAUGUGUUUAUGGUUUCCCCACACCACUGGUCACCAAUCACACUUGUGCUUAGACCACAUUAAUUGCAAACAAGUGGUUAAAUGAGUAACUCCCUACAGGUACCAGAAAGGAACUCCUCUGGCAGUUCAGAUGCCUCUAAUGAUGCCACACAGGAACAACUGGCCCAAAUUCUCUUUCAGAUCCCUUCCCCCGACACAAGAUUUGUUAACUGGAGCCAGUAGGCACCCAUGUACAGGGAGAAGAUCAUUUUCAUGAUCCUUAAGCACCAGGAAAGGAAUUUCCAGAUGGAACUAGCAAAGCCUCCACCCCUACAGUCCGAGCAGUUGCUGAGUAUCAUUAAUCAUUCCAUCAAAUGGAGCAUUCAACCCCUCUCCUGGUAAGAACAGGUUGCUGGAAACAUUCCUCAUUACAAUUCCUAUUUGGCAUUAGACUGCAAUACAUCUGACAACAUUGUUUGGGGUUGAUGUUUAACUAAACCACAUGUACAGGCAGUUGGUUUGAGUGCAAUGCAGGAUACCUGUACAUCUAUCUGUGUUUAUCAGUUCUCCUUCCUGUGACCUAUCAGUACAUAAAUAGCAUAUCAGAUGCCUGCAUAUAUUAUACACACCAGAUUCAUCAUUGCACGUGGUAAUCACGUUAAAUCUGCCCAAAGCAGCAAAGAACAACCAGCAGCAGACACAGAACAUCUUCACAACUGCUUCCUUUCUGGCUCCAUGCCUACUCUGCACUGCAAGAGCUGCUGCACCAGAGGAGUUGGUUGAUGUUUGCACUUGCACAGCUCCUGGAAGAUGAAGGCACUCAAAUAGAGAAAUUAAUAUUCACAGGAGAGCUGUCAGGGGAAAAGGAAGAGUUUUCCCUAAGGUGCACUGUUUCAGUACAAUGUGUUUGACUGGCACUUGGGCUCCUUUCCUUCACGGAGAGAAACAGGAGAGGCAUAAUCUGUUUGUACUCUUAUUUUCCCCAUCCAAUUAGAGCAUCCUUUCAAAGCAUUCCUGUUGUAGGUAGGCAGGAUAAUCUGAUAGAUUUUCAGAGAUAUGG
This is a long non-coding RNA of Parus major (Great Tit), 4017 nucleotides long. RefSeq lists it as uncharacterized. Lineage: Eukaryota; Metazoa; Chordata; Aves; Passeriformes; Paridae. The record is from RefSeq and is a predicted model, not a curated record. The transcript is spliced from 3 exons.